CCGAAGUACAGGCCCUCUCGUAGGGCUAAACUUCCACCCUUUGUUUACUAUUCUUUGUUGCUUUGGCGAGACGUCUUCGGACCACCGGCCCUUGGGCUGGUGCGCGCUCGCCAGAGGAAAAUCAAACCCAAACCUUUUUUAGUGUUGUCUGAGAACUAAGUUUAAUUAUUA
RNAcentral lists this unclassified non-coding RNA (171 nucleotides) under uncultured Tetracladium. RNAcentral describes it as "sequence contains ITS1". The record is from RNAcentral. Lineage: Eukaryota; Fungi; Ascomycota.